Molecule: long non-coding RNA, 922 nt
Filed under: Pan troglodytes (chimpanzee)
Lineage: Eukaryota; Metazoa; Chordata; Mammalia; Primates; Hominidae
Description: lncRNA (ENSPTRG00000053944.1)
Source: RNAcentral
AUUUCUUGGCUGCUCCACAAGGGAGUCCCACUUCAGGUGUGGUGCUGGGCAUGGUCACUCCUGCUGGAUGUUUAGAAGGUGGAAACCAAGGACCUAGGGAAAUACCAGGUACAGCCUUUCCACCCUCAUCCAGAGAAGGACAAAGAGGCCAGGCGGUGUCAGGAGCCCAGGUCUCCAGCUGGAGGUAACGUCAACCCUGCAGUGGGAGCAGGGGCCCAUUGCACAUCCUAGGCAGAGAUGGUAACAUAGGCACCACAGAAGCACUGCUGACAGUUUGGUGGUUGCCAUUGGGGCAGUGAGCCUUUUGUCCGUUCUGAGUUUGGGCUGGUUUCUCCUCUUGGCCCUGCCCUACAGACCGUAAAGGAAAUCAGCAAGAAGUCCCCAGAAACAUCCACAGAUGGCCCUGGACAUCAGCCACAUUCUGAGAAACAUGUCAUGUUCUGGGAGGGCUAAGGCAUCAAGGCCUCAGUGCAUGGGCGCUGUCCAACCUCUGGUGCUGAAGCAGCCAAGAGACCCAAGCCUGCGUGGCUGCCUCUUAGGAUAUGACAGCACAGCCACUGGCCUCUACUGAAUCCUAUGCAACCUCAGAAGACACCCAGGAGUGAUGCCAUCACGUGGUGCAAGAGUUCUGAGGGACCGCAAUCCUGAAGACAUUGAAUGGCUGUGUUCCUGCUCAUUGCUGGAGGUACUGUCAGGGGCCCUGUCCUCAACCCCGGGUCUGACCCUUGCAGAUCAGGCAGGACAUUCUGGAGGAAUCAUGCCCUUGGAAGGAUCCCUGAGGAGUGACUGGUGGGUAUUGGUGGAUAAAUACCCCAGCUCCCUUGCUUUGGGUGGGAUGACUCUGAGGCACAUGUUCUGUGCUGUCUCUGCAGAUGUACCUGGCAGGGCUGAGUCCUGGCUGCCACAGGGGAAACUUUCUUGA